AAGGUACUCCCUCCGUCCGGAAAUACUUGUCAUCAAAAUAAAUAAAAGGGGAUGUAUCUAGACGUAUUUUAGUUCUAGAUACAUCCUUUUUUAUUCAUUUUGAUGAGAAGUAUUUUCGAACAGAUGGAAUAGUAA
Molecule: non-coding RNA, 135 nt
Organism: Triticum aestivum (bread wheat)
Lineage: Eukaryota; Viridiplantae; Streptophyta; Magnoliopsida; Poales; Poaceae
Source: Rfam